Molecule: ribosomal RNA, 253 nt
Filed under: uncultured bacterium
Lineage: Bacteria
Description: partial 16S ribosomal RNA
Rfam family: Bacterial small subunit ribosomal RNA
Source: RNAcentral
UACGUAGGGUGCGAGCGUUAAUCGGAAUUACUGGGCGUAAAGCGUGCGCAGGCGGUUUUGUAAGCCAGAUGUGAAAGCCCCGGGCUCAACCUGGGAAUGGCAUUUGGGACUGCAAGGCUUGAGUGCGGCAGAGGAGACUGGAAUUCCUGGUGUAGCAGUGAAAUGCGUAGAUAUCAGGAGGAACACCGAUGGCGAAGGCAAUCCCCUGGGCCUGCACUGACGCUCAUGCACGAAAGCGUGGGGAGCAAACAGG